RNAcentral lists this small RNA (62 nucleotides) under Sinorhizobium meliloti 2011. RNAcentral's name for it is "putative ncRNA". The record is from RNAcentral. Lineage: Bacteria; Pseudomonadati; Pseudomonadota; Alphaproteobacteria; Hyphomicrobiales; Rhizobiaceae.
AUCAUUCCAAUACAGACUGCUGGCGUCGACCUGAUCGCGAAGUCGACUGGAUUGAAUUGGUA